Molecule: long non-coding RNA, 245 nt
Filed under: Lathyrus oleraceus (garden pea)
Lineage: Eukaryota; Viridiplantae; Streptophyta; Magnoliopsida; Fabales; Fabaceae
Description: Pisum sativum (pea) long non-coding RNA (PSAT_LNC011021)
Source: RNAcentral
UAAGGUCAUCGCCAUGAAGGAAGCUAACAACCUAUUGACAUUAUACAUUACUACUUUGCUUGGCAAGCUUGAAGAACAUGAGAGAGAGCUCAUUUGUUUAGAGAAGCAUGAGAAGAAUAUUAAAAUAGAAAAGAACAAGGACAAGGAGGUUGAAAAGAAGUCAAUUGCUCUUGUGGCUUCUAGUCCUAAGUCCUUAACAAAAGAGCAUGAUGAAAGUGGAACUAGUGAUGAUGAGUGUUCGAAUG